UGCGUAGGCGGAAGAUUAAGUCAGUAGUGAAAUCCUGCAGCUCAACUGUAGAACUGUUAUUGAUACUGAUCUUCUUGAAUACAGUUGAGGUAGGCGGAAUAUGUAAUGUAGCGGUGAAAUGCUUAGAUAUUACAUAGAACACCGAUUGCGAAGGCAGCUUACUAAACUGUGAUUGCCGCUGAGGCACGAAAGCGUGGGGAGCGAACAGGAUUAGAUACCCUGGUAGUCC
This 229-nucleotide ribosomal RNA is filed under the name uncultured bacterium. Its description in RNAcentral is "partial 16S ribosomal RNA". It matches the Rfam family "Bacterial small subunit ribosomal RNA", at positions 568 to 796 of the family's 1533-position model. The record is from RNAcentral.